UACGAAGGGUGCAAGCGUUAUCCGGAUUCAUUGGGUUUAAAGGGUGCGCAGGCGGAUAUGUAAGUCAGUGGUGAAAUCUCUAGGCUUAACCUGGAAAUUGCCGUUGAUACUAUAUAUCUUGAAUGCUGUGGAGGUAAGCGGAAUAUGUCAUGUAGCGGUGAAAUGCUUAGAUAUGACAUAGAACACCUAUUGCGAAGGCAGCUUACUACGCAGAUAUUGACGCUCAUGCACGAAAGCGUGGGGAUCAAACAGG
This 253-nucleotide ribosomal RNA is filed under the name uncultured bacterium. RNAcentral's name for it is "partial 16S ribosomal RNA". It matches the Rfam family "Bacterial small subunit ribosomal RNA", at positions 524 to 776 of the family's 1533-position model. The record is from RNAcentral.